GAUGAACGCUGGCGGCGUGCCUAAUACAUGCAAGUCGAGCGAACGGACGAGAAGCUUGCUUUUCUGAUGUUAGCGGCGGACUGGUGAGUAAGACGUGGAUAACCUACCUAUAAGACUGGGAUAACUUCGGGAAACCGGAGCUAAUACCGGAUAAUAUUUUGAACCGCAUGGUUCAAAAGUGAAAGACGGUCUUGCUGUCACUUAUAGAUGGAUCCGCGCUGCAUUAGCUAGUUGGUAAGGUAACGGCUUACCAAGGCAACGAUGCAUAGCCGACCUGAGAGGGUGAUCGGCCACACUGGAACUGAGACACGGUCCAGACUCCUACGGGAGGCAGCAGUAGGGAAUCUUCCGCAAUGGGCGAAAGCCUGACGGAGCAACGCCGCGUGAGUGAUGAAGGUCUUCGGAUCGUAAAACUCUGUUAUUAGGGAAGAAAAUAUGUGUAAGUAACUGUGCACAUCUUGACGGUACCUAAUCAGAAAGCCACGGCUAACUACGUG
RNAcentral lists this ribosomal RNA (497 nucleotides) under uncultured bacterium. RNAcentral's name for it is "partial 16S ribosomal RNA". It matches the Rfam family "Bacterial small subunit ribosomal RNA", at positions 28 to 507 of the family's 1533-position model. The record is from RNAcentral.